CACAGGUAGCCCGAGUGGUGUCCACGAAUAUUGAGCUUAAAGCGUCCGUAGCCGGUUUGGCAAGUUUCCUGUGAAAUCUCUUGGCUCAACCAAGAGGCGUGCAGGGAAUACUACCAGGCUAGGGAGUGGGGGAGGUCAGAGGUACACUAGGGGGAGCGGUAAAAUGCUGUAAUCCUUGGUGGACCACCAGUGGCGAAGGCGUCUGACCAAAACACGUCCGACGGUGAGGGACGAAGGCUAGGGGAGCAAAUCGG
This 254-nucleotide ribosomal RNA is filed under the name uncultured archaeon. Its description in RNAcentral is "partial 16S ribosomal RNA". It matches the Rfam family "Archaeal small subunit ribosomal RNA", at positions 474 to 727 of the family's 1478-position model. The record is from RNAcentral.